This 253-nucleotide ribosomal RNA is filed under the name uncultured bacterium. Its description in RNAcentral is "partial 16S ribosomal RNA". It matches the Rfam family "Bacterial small subunit ribosomal RNA", at positions 524 to 776 of the family's 1533-position model. The record is from RNAcentral.
UACGUAGGGUGCGAGCGUUGUCCGGAAUUAUUGGGCGUAAAGAGCUCGUAGGCGGCUUGUUGCGUCUGCCGUGAAAAUUCACAGCUUAACUGUGGACGUGCGGUGGAUACGGGCAGGCUUGAGUUCGGUAGGGGAGAGUGGAAUUCCUGGUGUAGCGGUGAAAUGCGCAGAUAUCAGGAAGAACACCAAUGGCGAAAGCAGCUCUCUGGGACGGUACUGACGCUGAGACGCGAAAGCGUGGGGAGCGAACAGG